UACGAAGGGGGCUAGCGUUGUUCGGAAUUACUGGGCGUAAAGCGCACGUAGGCGGAUUGUUUAGUCAGGGGUGAAAUCCCGGGGCUCAACCCCGGAACUGCCUCUGAUACUGGCAAUCUCGAGUUCGGGAGAGGUGAGUGGAAUUCCGAGUGUAGAGGUGAAAUUCGUAGAUAUUCGGAGGAACACCAGUGGCGAAGGCGGCUCACUGGUCCGGAACUGACGCUGAGGUGCGAAAGCGUGGGGAGCAAACAGG
Molecule: unclassified non-coding RNA, 253 nt
Filed under: uncultured Alphaproteobacteria bacterium
Lineage: Bacteria; Pseudomonadati; Pseudomonadota; Alphaproteobacteria
Description: contains 16S-23S intergenic spacer region
Rfam family: Bacterial small subunit ribosomal RNA
Source: RNAcentral